Molecule: ribosomal RNA, 719 nt
Filed under: uncultured Chloroflexota bacterium
Lineage: Bacteria; Bacillati; Chloroflexota
Description: bacterial SSU rRNA
Rfam family: Bacterial small subunit ribosomal RNA
Source: RNAcentral
GUAGCAAUACUUUCUUAGUGGCGAACGGGUGAGUAACGCGUUGGUGAUCUGCCCCAAAGUGAGGGAUAACAGUUCGAAAGGACUGCUAAUACCCCAUGUGGUCAUCGGGAUUAGAAUCUGGUGACUAAAGACGAAAGUCGCUUUGGGAGGAGCCUGCGUCCCAUCAGCUAGUUGGUAAGGUAAUGGCUUACCAAGGCGAUGACGGGUAGGGGACCUGAGAGGGUGACCCCCCACACUGGCACUGAAACACGGGCCAGACACCUACGGGUGGCAGCAGUAGGGAAUAUUGGUUAAUGGGCGAAAGCCCGAACCAGCAACGCCGCGUGCGCGAUGAAGGCCUUCGGGUUGUAAAGCGCUUUUAGCGGGGAUGAGGAAGGACAGUACCCACUGAAUAAGUCUCGGCUAACUACGUGCCAGCAGCCGCGGUAACACGUAGGAGACAAGCGUUAUCCGGAUUUACUGGGCGUAAAGCGCGUGCAGGCGGUUCGGUAAGUUGGAUGUGAAAGCUCCUGGCUUAACUGGGAGAGGUCGUUCAAUACUACCGGACUUGAGGAUGAGAGAGGGAGGUGGAAUUCCGGGUGUAGUGGUGAAAUGCGUAGAUAUCCGGAGGAACACCAGUGGCGAAAGCGGCCUCCUGGCCCAUAUCUGACGCUCAUACGCGAAAGCUAGGGGAGCAAACGGGAUUAGAGACCCCGGUAGUCCUAGCUGUAAACGAUGUA